This is a long non-coding RNA of Aedes albopictus (Asian tiger mosquito), 754 nucleotides long. RefSeq lists it as uncharacterized. NCBI's taxonomy places the organism in Eukaryota, Metazoa, Arthropoda, Insecta, Diptera, Culicidae. The record is from RefSeq and is a predicted model, not a curated record. The transcript is spliced from 2 exons.
GUGCUCAUUCUGCACUUCGAAUGAGGUGACGAAAGUCGAGUCGAAUGUGUCACCCGAUUCCCAUAGUCGAAUGCGGUGAGAAGAGUCGGUGUGAGUGAACACCGAUGAACUCUCACCGCAUUCCUACAGUCGAUGUUGAUCGACAGAAGUCGCGUUCAAGUGACGUUUGUGGGUGAGAAGAGUCGUAACCUCAAGAGGUGUCGAGAGCUCAAUCGACACCAGAGAAACACAACAAAUUGUACAUAAUUGAUGAAAUCGUACCGACUGACUACCGGUAACCAAAUCCACCACCACUGCACACUCUUCAAGCUGUCCCGAUAGAAAAUGGUCAAAGUUGCUGCCGCAUCAGAAGCGAAGAUGGCCGCUUUCUUCGGAAAUCACUUGUGCUCACCAUUCGGAACCUGAAAAAUGUGGAAUCAUGGACCUAAACGCACUAGCAUUUUUUUUUGUAAUGAAAACAUCCGCUUUCUGAAGCUAAAGCACAGUCGAGAUACAAGAGCUGUACGGGGUGUAAAAUGGUUGGCGUGAAAUUAGAGUAACGAUACACUUGGACCAUCUCCAGCAGCGUGUGGGAGUUCCGAAAUGCAUCUAGAACUGCAUCUGGGGUAUUUUCAGCAGAGCAAUGAUAACAAAGGGUAUUUGUAACUGCUAUGAAGCAACUGGAACGCUGCUGGAGAUGUCCUUACUGGUGUAAUUGUGAAAAAAUAUUACACAAAUUUUGAGUUAUGAUCCAAAAUAAAGUUUUUCGCUAUAA